GACGAACGCUGGCGGCGUGCUUAACACAUGCAAGUCGAACGGAAAGGCCCUUCUUUUGUGGGGUGCUCGAGUGGCGAACGGGUGAGUAACACGUGAGUAACCUACCCUUGACUUUGGGAUAACUUCAGGAAACUGGGGCUAAUACCGGAUAGGAGCUCCUGCUGCAUGGUGGGGGUUGGAAAGUUUCGGCGGUUGGGGAUGGACUCGCGGCUUAUCAGCUUGUUGGUGGGGUAGUGGCUUACCAAGGCUUUGACGGGUAGCCGGCCUGAGAGGGUGACCGGCCACAUUGGGACUGAGAUGCGGCCCAGACUCAUACGGGAGGGAGCAGUGGGGAAUAUUGCACAAUGGGCGGAAGCCUGAUGCAGCAACGCCGCGUGCGGGGUGACGGCCUUCGGGUUGUAAACCGCUUUCGCCUGUGACGAAGCGUGAGUGACGGUAAUGGGUAAAGAAGCACCGGCUAACUACGUG
RNAcentral lists this ribosomal RNA (468 nucleotides) under uncultured bacterium. Its description in RNAcentral is "partial 16S ribosomal RNA". It matches the Rfam family "Bacterial small subunit ribosomal RNA", at positions 28 to 507 of the family's 1533-position model. The record is from RNAcentral.